ACCUUCGUGGUGUAACAGUAAAACACUCGGUGCGUAAUCAAGAGGUCCAGGUUCAAAUCCCGGCGAGGGCA
RNAcentral lists this transfer RNA (71 nucleotides) under Stegodyphus mimosarum. It matches the Rfam family "tRNA". Rfam says of the family: Transfer RNA (tRNA) molecules are approximately 80 nucleotides in length. Their secondary structure includes four short double-helical elements and three loops (D, anti-codon, and T loops). The record is from Rfam by way of RNAcentral. Lineage: Eukaryota; Metazoa; Arthropoda; Arachnida; Araneae; Eresidae.